UACGUAGGGUGCAAGCGUUAAUCGGAAUGACUGGGCGUAAAGGGCGCGUAGGCGGCUUGUUUAGUCAGGCGUGAAAUUCCUGGGCUUAACCUGGGGGCUGCGCUUGAUACAGGCAGGCUUGAGUGCGGAAGAGGGUCGUGGAAUUCCCAGUGUAGAGGUGAAAUUCGUAGAUAUUCGCAAGAACACCAGUGGCGAAGGCGGCUCACUGGCCCGGUACUGACGCUGAGGUGCGAAAGCGUGGGGAGCAAACAGG
This 253-nucleotide ribosomal RNA is filed under the name uncultured bacterium. RNAcentral's name for it is "partial 16S ribosomal RNA". It matches the Rfam family "Bacterial small subunit ribosomal RNA", at positions 524 to 776 of the family's 1533-position model. The record is from RNAcentral.